This 255-nucleotide ribosomal RNA is filed under the name uncultured bacterium. Its description in RNAcentral is "partial 16S ribosomal RNA". It matches the Rfam family "Bacterial small subunit ribosomal RNA", at positions 215 to 470 of the family's 1533-position model. The record is from RNAcentral.
GCGCUAUCAGAUGAGCCUAGGUCGGAUUAGCUAGUUGGUGAGGUAAUGGCUCACCAAGGCUACGAUCCGUAACUGGUCUGAGAGGAUGAUCAGUCACACUGGAAGUGAGACACGGUCCAGACUCCUACGGGAGGCAGCAGUGGGGAAUAUUGGACAAUGGGCGAAAGCCUGAUCCAAAAGGGCCGCGUGUGUGAAGAAGGUCUUCGGAUUGUAAAUUAAUGGAGUUGGGAGGAAGGGCAUUAACCUAAUACGUUA